GAAAAUAAUUUUGAAAAAAAUAGAUGAAAUUUUGAAUUAUGUGGGUGUUUUUGAAAGAAAAAUCAGAAAUUGAUGGUCAAAAUAUAAUUUAAGAAAAUUGUGAUACAUAGGACACCCAGUCAACAGCUCCGACAAAUCGGAGCCCGCCGUUUGGCAAGGCAAGUUGACGCGGUGCCACGCGAGAAGCCACGUUGACGAUUCGCGUGUUCACAAUUGUACGGUCCGAAUUUGUUCCCGUGCGCAUGGACAGUCCGGAUUUGUUCACUUUUUAAAACGCGAUCAGACAGUCCAGAUCAAAUCACGAUGAAUGAUCCUGAUUCACUUUCUAUUUAAACACGAUCGACGGUCCACAUCCACUUCCUAUUUAAACGCGAUCGGACGGUCCAGAUUAAAUCGUGAUGAAUGAUCCAUAUUCACUUCCUAUUUAAACGCAAUCGGACGGUCAAGAUCAAACGUGAUGAACGGUACAGAUUAAAAGAAGAUGAAUAUAAAUAACUCUCUUCACACCAAACCCUAACCCUAGCCGUCAGACCCCACCGCCAGAGAAGAAGAGCCAGUCGCCGGGAAGGGAGUCGACCGUCGUUUGCCGUAGUGCCGGAGCCACUUUCGACUGCCAAAAAAGGUAAAUUUUUUCUCAUUCGCUUGAAAUUCAAUUUUUAACACCCCCAUAGCCAAAUCGGAGCAAAAGAACCAGCGGAUGAGCCGAAAACUGCGGGCCAAAGCCCGGCAGCACCACCGCGAAAAAAAGCAAAAAUUACUUCUGAUGAGGCCCUUCCUGAUUUCCAUUUCGUGUAAU
RNAcentral lists this long non-coding RNA (796 nucleotides) under Carica papaya (papaya). RNAcentral's name for it is "long non-coding RNA (CPAP_LNC016662)". Lineage: Eukaryota; Viridiplantae; Streptophyta; Magnoliopsida; Brassicales; Caricaceae. The record is from RNAcentral.